CCUACGGGAGGCAGCAGUGAGGAAUAUUGGUCAAUGGGCGGGAGCCUGAACCAGCCAAGUCGCGUGAAGGAAGAAGGUACUUCGUAUUGUAAACUUCUUUUGUCGGGGAACAAAGGCGGAUACGCGUCUCCGGCUGAGUGUACCCGAAGAAAAAGCAUCGGCUAACUCCGUGCCAGCAGCCGCGGUAAUACGGGGGAUGCGAGCGUUAUCCGGAUUUAGUGGGGUUAAAGGGGGCGCAGGCGGGAGAUCAAGUCAGCGGUAAAAUGUCGGGGCUCAACCCCGCCGAGCCGUCGGAACUGGGGGCCUGGAGUGCGGCGGAGGAAGGCGGAAUGCGCGGUGUAGCGGUGAAAUGCAUAGAUAUCGCGCAGAACCCCGAUUGCGAAGGUAGCGUGCCGUGCCGCCACUGACGCUGAGGCACGAAAGCGCGGGGAUCGAACAGGAUUAGAUACCCUGGUAGUC
Molecule: ribosomal RNA, 459 nt
Filed under: uncultured bacterium
Lineage: Bacteria
Description: partial 16S ribosomal RNA
Rfam family: Bacterial small subunit ribosomal RNA
Source: RNAcentral